RNAcentral lists this ribosomal RNA (494 nucleotides) under uncultured bacterium. RNAcentral describes it as "partial 16S ribosomal RNA". It matches the Rfam family "Bacterial small subunit ribosomal RNA", at positions 28 to 507 of the family's 1533-position model. The record is from RNAcentral.
GACGAACGCUGGCGGCGUGCUUAACACAUGCAAGUCGAACGGUGAAGCGCCUUCCUUUUUGGUGGGUGUGGAUGAGUGGCGAACGGGUGAGUAACACGUGAGUAACCUGCCCCCUUCUUCUGGAUAACCGCAUGAAAGUGUGGCUAAUACGGGAUAUUCUGGGUCUGUCGCAUGAUGGGUCUGGGAAAGAUAUUGUUUCGGUGGGGGAUGGGCUCGCGGCCUAUCAGCUUGUUGGUGGGGUGAUGGCCUACCAAGGCGGUGACGGGUAGCCGGCCUGAGAGGGGGGGCGGCCCCAGGGGGAGGGGAACCCGCCGAGGCCCCCGCGGGGGGGAGGGGGGGGGGAUUGUGGACAGGGGGCGGCGGGCUUGGGGCAGCGCCGCCGGGUGGGGGAGGGGGCCCGGGGGUUUGGGACCCUUUUCGGCCGGGGAAGGAGGCCGGCUGUUUUUGUGGGGGGGUGGAGGGUGGCUGAUAAAGAGGCGCCGACUAACUACGUC